GAUGAACGCUGGCGGCGUGCCUAAUACAUGCAAGUCGAGCGAACAGACGAGGAGCUUGCUCCUCUGACGUUAGCGGCGGACGGGUGAGUAACACGUGGAUAACCUACCUAUAAGACUGGGAUAACUUCGGGAAACCGGAGCCAAUACCGGAUAAUAUAUUGAACCGCAUGGUUCAAUAGUGAAAGACGGUUUUGCUGUCACUUAUAGAUGGAUCCGCGCCGCAUUAGCUAGUUGGUAAGGUAACGGCUUACCAAGGCAACGAUGCGUAGCCGACCUGAGAGGGUGAUCGGCCACACUGGAACUGAGACACGGUCCAGACUCCUACGGGAGGCAGCAGUAGGGAAUCUUCCGCAAUGGGCGAAAGCCUGACGGAGCAACGCCGCGUGAGUGAUGAAGGUCUUCGGAUCGUAAAACUCUGUUAUUAGGGAAGAACAAAUGUGUAAGUAACUAUGCACGUCUUGACGGUACCUAAUCAGAAAGCAACGGCUAACUACGUG
RNAcentral lists this ribosomal RNA (497 nucleotides) under uncultured bacterium. Its description in RNAcentral is "partial 16S ribosomal RNA". It matches the Rfam family "Bacterial small subunit ribosomal RNA", at positions 28 to 507 of the family's 1533-position model. The record is from RNAcentral.